This 23-nucleotide ribosomal RNA is filed under the name uncultured Thelephoraceae. RNAcentral describes it as "partial 28S ribosomal RNA". The record is from RNAcentral. Lineage: Eukaryota; Fungi; Basidiomycota; Agaricomycetes; Thelephorales; Thelephoraceae.
AUCUCAAAUCAGGUAGGACUACC